AGCUACACAUGCAGUCGAGCGGAUGAAGGGAGCUUGCUCCCUGAUUCAGCGGCGGACGGGUGAGUAAUGCCUAGGAAUCUGCCUGGUAGUGGGGGACAACGUCUCGAAAGGGACGCUAAUACCGCAUACGUCCUACGGGAGAAAGCAGGGGACCUUCGGGCCUUGCGCUAUCAGAUGAGCCUAGGUCGGAUUAGCUAGUUGGUGAGGUAAUGGCUCACCAAGGCUGCGAUCCGUAACUGGUCUGAGAGGAUGAUCAGUCACACUGGAACUGAGACACGGUCCAGACUCCUACGGGAGGCAGCAGUGGGGAAUAUUGGACAAUGGGCGAAAGCCUGAUCCAGCCAUGCCGCGUGUGUGAAGAAGGUCUUCGGAUUGUAAAGCACUUUAAGUUGGGAGGAAGGGCAGUAAGUUAAUACCUUGCUGUUUUGACGUUACCGACAGAAUAAGCACCGGCUAACUUCGUGCCAGCAGCCGCGGUAAUACGAAGGGUGCAAGCGUUAAUCGGAAUUACUGGGCGUAAAGCGCGCGUAGGUGGUUUGUUAAGUUGGAAGUGAAAGCCCCGGGCUCAACCUGGGAACUGCUUUCAAAACUGGCAAGCUAGAGUAUGGCAGAGGGUGGUGGAAUUUCCUGUGUAGCGGUGAAAUGCGUAGAUAUAGGAAG
Molecule: ribosomal RNA, 660 nt
Filed under: Stutzerimonas nitrititolerans
Lineage: Bacteria; Pseudomonadati; Pseudomonadota; Gammaproteobacteria; Pseudomonadales; Pseudomonadaceae
Description: bacterial SSU rRNA
Rfam family: Bacterial small subunit ribosomal RNA
Source: RNAcentral